This 841-nucleotide ribosomal RNA is filed under the name uncultured phototrophic eukaryote. RNAcentral describes it as "bacterial SSU rRNA". It matches the Rfam family "Bacterial small subunit ribosomal RNA", at positions 28 to 915 of the family's 1533-position model. The record is from RNAcentral.
GGGGGGGGAUUGCGAUGCUACACAUGCAGUCGAACGAAAGUUUAUACUUUAGUGGCGGACGGGUGAGUAAUACGUGAGCCUUUACCUUUAGGAAGGGAAUAACAAUUGGAAACGAUUGCUAAUGCCCUAUAUGCUUAGCAGUGAAACAGAUUUAUCUGCCUGAAGAUGAGCUCGCGCCUGAUUAGCUAGUUGGUAGAGUAAAAGCCUACCAAGGCAACGAUCAGUAGCUGGUUUGAGAGGACGAUCAGCCACACUGGGACUGAGACACGGCCCAGACUUCUACGGAAGGCAGCAGUGGGGAAUUUUCCGCAAUGAGCGAAAGCUUGACGGAGCAAUACCGCGUGAGGGAAGAAUGCCUGUGGGUUGUAAACCUCUUUUUUUAGGGAAGAAAAUAUGACGGUACCUAAAGAAUAAGCAUCGGCUAACUCCGUGCCAGCAGCCGCGGUAAUACGGGGGAUGCAAGCGUUAUCCGGAAUUACUGGGCGUAAAGCGUCUGCAGGUGGCUUAAAAAGUCUGCUGUUAAAUAUUAGAGCUCAACUCUGAGUAAGCAGUGGAAACUGUUAGGCUAGAGUAUGGUAUGGGUAAAGGGAACUCCCAGUGUAGCGGUGAAAUGCGUAGAUAUUGGGAAGAACACCAGUAGCGAAAGCGCUUUACUAGACCAUUACUGACACUCAGAGACGAAAGCUAGGGGAGCAAAUGGGAUUAGAUACCCCAGUAGUCCUAGCCGUAAACGAUGGAUACUAGAUGUUGCGUGUAUCGACCCAUGCAGUAUCGUAGCUAACGCGUUAAGUAUCCCGCCUGGGAAGUAUGCUCGCAAGAGUGAAACUCAAAGGAAUUGACG